Molecule: long non-coding RNA, 1873 nt
Filed under: Phaseolus vulgaris (common bean)
Lineage: Eukaryota; Viridiplantae; Streptophyta; Magnoliopsida; Fabales; Fabaceae
Description: long non-coding RNA (PVUL_LNC001708)
Source: RNAcentral
AAAAUAAAAUAAAAUAAAAAUCAACACAUCUUACAUCCCGAGAAUCAAGAUUCAUAAUGGUAUGUCAUUUUAAUGGGUAGCAAUAAUUAGAGUGCAAAGUCAUCAAGUUUCUUGAUGAUCAUAUCUGCAUCCUACGGGACAACGUAGUAAAUAUUGGAUAAAAGGAAAGGAAAAACUCUAAUGCCUAUUACAAUAAGGUCCUCGUUCCACUCCCAAUACGCAGAACACAAAUGCUUGAGGUGACCAAGAUAUUGCAACAUUUGAAAUCACGUCCGCAUAUUCAUUACUUUAUCUUCAAUGGAAACGCAGCACAGCUUUGAAAAACAGCUCAACAAGGAAUUAGACUUACAGAGAAUCCAACAUGUCCCAAUAAACGGAUUGUUCAAGGAUAAAAAUAUUGGAAAUAUGCAGGUAAUACGUAGGUACAACUACGUAUAAAAAUAUUGGUCAAAAUGUGAUCGAUAAAAUAUAGCUGCUUAACUUAUAUCCCACUGUUACGGAGAAACAUACUGAAGGAUGACAUUUAGAAAAGCAACACAAUACAUUUAGCUUCAAGGGAACGAGUCAUAAUGGGAACUAAACAAAUCCACACAGACCAGAUAGAGAAGCAUUACGUAUGUAAAUGUUGCAGAAAAAUAAAAUCUUCCACAACACGGAAAAGGCAAAAUAUUAAUUCAAAAAUUAUAAGAAACAUAUCGUAAAACAUUUAACAUAGUGUGCAACAAUAAUGAAAGCCUCAGAGAUCUUGGUGGAUAAUAAUCAUCAGAUGGGCAAUUCCCAUCAAGAGUAGCAAAUAUCUUCUAGCAUCACCGGCUAUCAUUAAGAAUGAAAUAUUUCUCAAAAUAAAUUAAGUACAUAAUUAAUAACAAACAAAUACAUAACAUAGAAUUGAUAGAGGAAAUCAAAAUAAAAAUGGAAAGCAAAGAGUAUGAACAUGAUGUUGUCAGUAGUAGCUGGUUGUUAAAUCACAUAAAAAUAUCAGUGGGAAUCCGUCUGAUUUUAUCAUCAUUCUACAUCAUACAUUCAAUACCCAAAAACAAAUCUAGAAAUAAAAAGUAAAAAACACAAAAAACCAAUAAUUCAGAUUCUUAAAUGGACGAUUCGCAUCACAAAAUAUCUUCUAGCAUCACCAGCUAUCAUUAAGAAUGAAUUAUCUCAAAAUAAUUAGUUAUAUAAAUAACAAAUAAUUAUAUAUAAAUUCAUAGGUAUGACCAAUAGAUAGCAUAAAUCCAGUAAAAAAUACAAAGCAAUGAAUACGAAUAUGAUGUUGUCAGUAGUAGCUGGUUGUUAAAUCACAUAAAAAAAUCAGUGGGAAUCCGUCUGAUUUUAUCAUCAUUCAACAUCAUAUAUUCACGACACAAACGAAUCUAGAAAACCAAUUUCAAAUAAAUAAAAUAACCAAUCAUUCAAAUUCUCAAAAUAAAUUUACCUAUCUUGUCACCGAGAUAUCCUAUCAAGAAAAAAGGAUACUCGGAGCUAAAGAUAGACAACACGUAUAUUAAAGACAUACAUGCUGGUUAAAAUAACGUUAAUAUAGCCUAACGAUAGAUUCAUUGACAUACCAGAUCGACGUACAAAGAAUUGCAAUAUUAGGCAGGAACCUCAAAUUGAAGGGAAUGAAAUUAAAGAAAUAAUUGAAAUAGCGAAAGAAGAUCGCAACCCUAGUUUGUUUGGACUCAGAGAGUUGCUUUCUGUGCUCAAAGACGAAUCCUUUUGCAAAGAUCCAUCUCAUACAAGAGGUGUCAGAAUAUUCAAGCACUCUUCAUCUUCGCCCAACCAAACACCAGCGAGAAACACAACAACAUUAAAAAUUAAGAAUAAGGCAAAAGCUGCAGAAGGAAGGAGAUGCAGUGGAAACUAGGGAGAUUCUUGA